Molecule: ribosomal RNA, 576 nt
Filed under: uncultured bacterium
Lineage: Bacteria
Description: bacterial SSU rRNA
Rfam family: Bacterial small subunit ribosomal RNA
Source: RNAcentral
ACGGGUGAGUAAUGUCUGGGAAACUGCCUGAUGGAGGGGGAUAACUACUGGAAACGGUAGCUAAUACCGCAUAACGUCGCAAGACCAAAGAGGGGGACCUUCGGGCCUCUUGCCAUCAGAUGUGCCCAGAUGGGAUUAGCUAGUAGGUGGGGUAACGGCUCACCUAGGCGACGAUCCCUAGCUGGUCUGAGAGGAUGACCAGCCACACUGGAACUGAGACACGGUCCAGACUCCUACGGGAGGCAGCAGUGGGGAAUAUUGCACAAUGGGCGCAAGCCUGAUGCAGCCAUGCCGCGUGUAUGAAGAAGGCCUUCGGGUUGUAAAGUACUUUCAGCGGGGAGGAAGGCGAUAAGGUUAGUAACCUUGUCGAUUGACGUUACCCGCAGAAGAAGCACCGGCUAACUCCGUGCCAGCAGCCGCGGUAAUACGGAGGGUGCAAGCGUUAAUCGGAAUUACUGGGCGUAAAGCGCACGCAGGCGGUCUGUCAAGUCGGAUGUGAAAUCCCCGGGCUCAACCUGGGAACUGCAUUCGAAACUGGCAGGCUAGAGUCUUGUAGAGGGGGGUAGAAUUCCAGGU